AUGGCCGGCGGAAUCGUGACCGUGGCGAGCGGGGUGAUGAACCCCCUCAUCGGCAAGCUCACCACACUCAUGGGCGACGAGUACAACAAGUUCAAAGGGAUCAAGAAGCAGGCGUCCUUCCUCCAGAAGGAGCUCAGCGCCAUGAACGCCGCCCUACAGAAGCUUGAGCUCAUGGAUGACGACCUCGAUCCAACCAUCAAGGAUUGGAGGGACCAUGUCAGGGAGAUGUCCUACGACAUGGAGAACUACAUUGAUGAUUUCAUACGCCAAUCUCAGGCUGUCAAUGCCAAGGUGGGUUUUGUCAAGAAGACUGCUCAGCACAUCAAGAAGUUGCGAUGGCGUCUUCGGAUUGCUGACCAGAUGGAAGAGCUGAAGAACCUUGCAAUAGAGGCGAAUGCUCGGCGCCAAAGGUAUAAGAUUGAUGAUUGGAAGCCUUCCUCUAGCAUUGUGGUUGUUGACCCUCGAAUCCCAGCGCUCUACCAAGAGGCAUCUACUCUUGUGGGAAUUGAUGGCCCAAGGGAGGAGGUUGCCACUUUGUUGUUGGAUAAUCGAAAGGAUGUCAAGGUCGUGUCCAUAGUCGGAUUCCGCGGUCUUGGUAAAACAACACUUGCCAAACAUGUAUAUUCAAAGAUUGGAUCACAAUUCAACUGCAAGGCAUACAUUUCAGUUUCACAGAGGCCUGAUAUGACCGACCUCCUCAAAAAUUUCCAAUUGAAACUAGGGAUGGAGGAUCCCAAGUCAUCUCGUGGCAAGGUUGACGACAUCAUCGAAGAGGUAAGAAAACAUUUGAAAAAUAAGAGGUAUUACUUUGCAUGGGCUAUACUCUUGUUGUAUUUCAGUUCAACAAUUGGUUAA
This 855-nucleotide ribosomal RNA is filed under the name Triticum aestivum (bread wheat). RNAcentral describes it as "partial small subunit ribosomal RNA". Lineage: Eukaryota; Viridiplantae; Streptophyta; Magnoliopsida; Poales; Poaceae. The record is from RNAcentral.